UACAGAGGUCCCAAGCGUUGUUCGGAUUCACUGGGCGCAAAGGGUGCGUAGGCGGUUUGGUAAGUCUUAUGUGAAAUCUAUGGGCUCAACUCAUAGACUGCAUGAGAAACUGCCGGGCUUGAGUAUGGGAGAGGUGAGUGGAAUUCCUGGUGUAGCGGUGAAAUGCGUAGAUAUCAGGAGGAACACCUGUGGCGAAAGCGGCUCACUGGACCAUAACUGACGCUGAUGCACGAAAGCUAGGGGAGCAAACAGG
This 253-nucleotide ribosomal RNA is filed under the name uncultured bacterium. RNAcentral's name for it is "partial 16S ribosomal RNA". It matches the Rfam family "Bacterial small subunit ribosomal RNA", at positions 524 to 776 of the family's 1533-position model. The record is from RNAcentral.